RNAcentral lists this microRNA precursor (82 nucleotides) under Aotus nancymaae (Ma's night monkey). Its description in RNAcentral is "miRNA (ENSANAG00000007856.1)". Lineage: Eukaryota; Metazoa; Chordata; Mammalia; Primates; Aotidae. The record is from RNAcentral.
UUAGGUUGCUGCAAAAGUAAUUGUGGUUUUUGCCAUUGAUUGUAAUAGCAAAAACUGCAAUUGCUUUUGCACCAACCUAAUA